This 116-nucleotide ribosomal RNA is filed under the name Shewanella aestuarii. RNAcentral also lists the same sequence under 3 other names. Lineage: Bacteria; Pseudomonadati; Pseudomonadota; Gammaproteobacteria; Alteromonadales; Shewanellaceae. The record is from RNAcentral.
UCUGGAAACCAUAGAGCUGUGGUACCACCUGAUCCCAUUCCGAACUCAGAAGUGAAACACAGUAUCGCCGAUGGUAGUGUGGGGUCUCCCCAUGUGAGAGUAGGUCAUUUCCAGGC